RNAcentral lists this ribosomal RNA (92 nucleotides) under Klebsiella pneumoniae. RNAcentral's name for it is "partial 16S ribosomal RNA". It matches the Rfam family "Bacterial small subunit ribosomal RNA", at positions 1442 to 1533 of the family's 1533-position model. RNAcentral also lists the same sequence under 6 other names. Lineage: Bacteria; Pseudomonadati; Pseudomonadota; Gammaproteobacteria; Enterobacterales; Enterobacteriaceae. The record is from RNAcentral.
UUUGGAGCCAGCCGCCUAAGGUGGGAUAGAUGAUUGGGGUGAAGUCGUAACAAGGUAGCCGUAUCGGAAGGUGCGGCUGGAUCACCUCCUUU